RNAcentral lists this ribosomal RNA (400 nucleotides) under uncultured bacterium. Its description in RNAcentral is "partial 16S ribosomal RNA". It matches the Rfam family "Bacterial small subunit ribosomal RNA", at positions 360 to 774 of the family's 1533-position model. The record is from RNAcentral.
AAUAUUGCGCAAUGGGGGAAACCCUGACGCAGCAACGCCGCGCGAGUGAUGAAGGCUCUCGGGUCUUAAAACUCUGUCAUUGGGGAAGAAAAAAAUGACGGUACCCAAUGAGGAAGCCCCGGCUAACUUCGUGCCAGCAGCCGCGGUAAUACGUAGGGGGCAAGCGUUGUCAGGAAUUAUUGGGCGUAAAGGGUGCGUAGGUGGCCUGAUAAGUCAGAUGUGAAAUACCGAGGCUCAACUUCGGAGGUGCAUUUGAAACUAUUAGGCUUGAGUGCAGGAGAGGAAAGUGGAAUUCCCAGUGUAGCGGUGAAAUGCGUAGAGAUUAGGAGGAACACCAGUGGCGAAGGCGACUUUCUGGACUGUAACUGACACUGAGGCACGAAAGCGUGGGGAGCAAACA